This 1491-nucleotide ribosomal RNA is filed under the name uncultured Bordetella sp. Its description in RNAcentral is "partial 16S-23S ribosomal RNA intergenic spacer". It matches the Rfam family "Bacterial small subunit ribosomal RNA". Lineage: Bacteria; Pseudomonadati; Pseudomonadota; Betaproteobacteria; Burkholderiales; Alcaligenaceae. The record is from RNAcentral.
AGUUCGAUCAUGGCUCAGGUCGAACGCUGGCCGGGAUCACCCACAUGCAAGUCGAACGGCAGCACGGACUUCGGUCUGGUGGCGAGUGGCGAACAGGUGAGUAAUGUAUCGGAACGUGCCUAGUAAGCGGGGGAUAACUACUGCGGCGUAGCUAAUACCGCAUACGCCCUUCCAGGGAAAGCGGGGGACCUUCGGGCUCACGCACUGUUAAAGCGACCACUGCGAUAUCAGUUAAGCUAGUUGGUGGGAGUAACGGCUCACCAAGGCGACGAUCCGUAGCUGGUUUGAGAGGACGACCAGCCACACUGGGACUGAGACACGGCCCAGACUCCUACAGGAGGCAGCAGUGGGGAAUUUUUUGGACAGUAAACCUGAUCCAUGCAUCCCGCGUGUGCGAUGAAGGCCUUCGGGUUGUAAAGCGCUUUUGGCAGGAAAGAAACGGCACGGGAUAAUACCCGUGCAACCGGUACCUGCAGAAUAAGCACCGGCUAACUACGUGCCAGCAGCCGCGGUAAUACGUAGGGUGCAAGCGUUAAUCGGAAUACUGGGCGUAAAGCGUGCGCAGGCGGUUCGGAAAGAAAGAUGUGAAAUCCCAGAGCUUAACUUUGGAACUGCAUUUUUUAACUACCGAGCUAGAGUGUGUCAGAGGAGGUGGAAUUCCGCGUGUAGCAGUGAAAUGCGUAGAUAUGCGGAGGAACACCGAUGGCGAAGGCGACCUCCUGGGAUAACACUGACGCUCAUGCACGAAAGCGUGGGGAACAAACAGGGGAUUAGAUACCCUGGUAGUCCACGCCCUAAACGAUGUCAACUAGCUGUUGGGGCCUUCGGGCCUUGGUAGCACCAGCUAACGCGUGAGAUUGACCGCCUGGGGAAGUCACGGUCGCAAGAUUAAAACUCAAGAUUGACGGGGACCCGCACAAGCGGUGGAUGAUGUGGAUUAAUUCGAUGCAACGCGAAAACCUUACCUGCCUUGACGUAUCUGGAAUCCCGGGAAUUUGGGAGUGCUCGCAAGAGAACCGGAACACAGAUUACCAUGGCUGUCGUCAGCUCGUGUCGUAGAGAUGUUGGGUUGAUCCCGCAACGAGCGCAACCCUAACAGCCAUUAGUUGCUACGAAAGGGCACUCUAAUGAGACUGCCGGUGACAAACCGGAGGAAGGUGGGGAUGACGUCAAGUCCUCAUGGCCCUUAUGGGUAGGGCCACACGUCAUAUAAUGGUCGGGACAGAGGGUCGCCAACCCGCGAGAGGCCAAUCCCAGCUUGAUCGUAGUCCGGAUCGCAGUCUGCAACUCGACUGCGUGAAGUCGGAAUCGCUAGUAAUCGCGGAUCAGCAUGUCGCGGUGAAUACGUUCCCGGGUCUUGUACACACCGCCCGUCACACCAGGAGUGGGUUUUGCCAGAAGUAGUUAGCCUAACCGUAGAGGGCGAUUACCACGGUAGGAUUCAUGACUGGGGUGAAGUCGUAACAAGGUAACCCUAUUUUCUGAUGUCAG